CCUAACUACAGUAACUGCACUGAGUGCAAGAAGAGUGUGUGCAACCUGUGUGGCUUCAACCCCACACCUCAUCUUGGUGAGAAAGAAUGGUUAUGUCUCAACUGCCAGACCCAAAGAGCUCUCUCUGGCCAGCUGGGCGAUAUGCCCCCUCCACCAUCUCCUGUGAAGAAGCAACUACCCACACCUACCCCUACCCCUCCUGCCUCCCCUGCCAAAGUCCCUGACUCCCCAGCUGCUGCUGCCUCUCCAUUAACGGGAAGCCCCUCAGUCACUCAGGUAGAGGCAGCAGCAGCAAAGGAAGACACCCAGCCGCUUCCCAUGUCCAAGGCAACGCUGAAAGACCCUGGAGAAAAAA
Oncorhynchus tshawytscha (Chinook salmon) is the source of this 355-nucleotide long non-coding RNA. RefSeq lists it as uncharacterized. The record is from RefSeq and is a predicted model, not a curated record. Lineage: Eukaryota; Metazoa; Chordata; Actinopteri; Salmoniformes; Salmonidae. The transcript is spliced from 3 exons.